RNAcentral lists this ribosomal RNA (433 nucleotides) under uncultured bacterium. RNAcentral's name for it is "partial 16S ribosomal RNA". It matches the Rfam family "Bacterial small subunit ribosomal RNA", at positions 29 to 507 of the family's 1533-position model. The record is from RNAcentral.
AACGAACGCUGGCGGCAUGCCUAACACAUGCAAGUCGAACGAGACCUUCGGGUCUAGUGGCGCACGGGUGCGUAACGCGUGGGAACCUGCCCUUAGGUUCGGAAUAACUCCCCGAAAGGGGUGCUAAUACCGGAUAAUGUCUUCGGACCAAAGAUUUAUCGCCUUUGGAUGGGCCCGCGUUGGAUUAGCUAGUUGGUAGGGUAAAAGCCUACCAAGGCGACGAUCCAUAGCUGGUCUGAGAGGAUGAUCAGCCACACUGGGGCUGAGACACGGCCCAGACUCCUACGGGAAGCAGCAGUGGGGAAUAUUGGACAGUGGGCGAAAGCCUGAUCCAGCAAUGCCGCGUGAGUGAUGAAGGCCUUAGGGUUGUAAAGCUCUUUUACCCGGGAUGAUAAUGACAGUACCGGGAGAAUAAGCUCCGGCUAACUCCGUG